RNAcentral lists this ribosomal RNA (602 nucleotides) under uncultured bacterium. RNAcentral describes it as "bacterial SSU rRNA". It matches the Rfam family "Bacterial small subunit ribosomal RNA", at positions 9 to 654 of the family's 1533-position model. The record is from RNAcentral.
GAGUUUGAUCCUGGCUCAGAAUGAACGCUGGCGGCAUGCCUAACACAUGCAAGUCGAACGAAGGCUUCGGCCUUAGUGGCGCACGGGUGCGUAACGCGUGGGAAUCUGCCCUCAGGUUCGGAAUAACAGCGAGAAAUUGCUGCUAAUGCCGGAUGAUAUCGCGAGAUCAAAGAUUUAUCGCCUGAGGAUGAGCCCGCGUAGGAUUAGCUAGUUGGUGUGGUAAAGGCGCACCAAGGCGACGAUCCUUAGCUGGUCUGAGAGGAUGAUCAGCCACACUGGGACUGAGACACGGCCCAGACUCCUACGGGAGGCAGCAGUGGGGAAUAUUGGACAAUGGGCGAAAGCCUGAUCCAGCAAUGCCGCGUGAGUGAUGAAGGCCUUAGGGUUGUAAAGCUCUUUUACCCGGGAUGAUAAUGACAGUACCGGGAGAAUAAGCUCCGGCUAACUCCGUGCCAGCAGCCGCGGUAAUACGGAGGGAGCUAGCGUUAUUCGGAAUUACUGGGCGUAAAGCGCACGUAGGCGGCUUUGUAAGUUAGAGGUGAAAGCCCUGGAGCUCAAAUUCCAGAAAUUGCCUUUAAGACUGCAUUCGUUGAAUCCAGGAG